CCAGUCGAACGGCAGCACAGGGGAGCUUGCUCCCCGGGUGGCGAGUGGCGGACCGUUUAGGAAUACAUCGGAAUCUACCUUGUCGUGGGGGAUAACCUCGGGAAACCGGGACUAAUACCGCAUACGUCCUACGGGAGAAAGCGGGGGACCUUUUAGGCCUCGCGCGGCAGGACGAACCGAUGUGCGAUUAGCUAGUUGGCGGGGUAAUGGCCCACCAAGGCGACGAUCGCUAGCUGGUCUGAGAGGAUGAUCAGCCACACUGGGACUGAGACACGGCCCAGACUCCUACGGGAGGCAGCAGUGGGGAAUAUUGGACAAUGGGCGCAAGCCUGAUCCAGCAAUGCCGCGUGUGUGAAGAAGGCCUUCGGGUUGUAAAGCACUUUUAUCAGGAGCGAAAUCUGCAUGCUUAAUACGUGUGCAGUCUGACGGUACCUGAGGAAUAAGCACCGGCUAACUUCGUGCCAGCAGCCGCGGUAAUACGAAGGGUGCAAGCGUUAAUCGGAAUUACUGGGCGUAAAGGGUGCGUAGGCGGUUCGUUAAGUCUGUCGUGAAAUCCCCGGGCUCAACCUGGG
Molecule: ribosomal RNA, 572 nt
Filed under: uncultured Rhodanobacter sp.
Lineage: Bacteria; Pseudomonadati; Pseudomonadota; Gammaproteobacteria; Lysobacterales; Rhodanobacteraceae
Description: bacterial SSU rRNA
Rfam family: Bacterial small subunit ribosomal RNA
Source: RNAcentral